UAGGGAAUCUUCCACAAUGGACGCAAGUCUGAUGGAGCAACGCCGCGUGAGUGAAGAAGAUCUUCGGACCGUAAAACUCUGUUGUUAGAGAAGAACACGAGUGAGAGUAACUGUUCAUUCGAUGACGGUAUCUAACCAGCAAGUCACGGCUAACUACGUGCUAG
RNAcentral lists this ribosomal RNA (164 nucleotides) under uncultured bacterium. RNAcentral describes it as "partial 16S rRNA". It matches the Rfam family "Bacterial small subunit ribosomal RNA", at positions 355 to 511 of the family's 1533-position model. The record is from RNAcentral.